RNAcentral lists this ribosomal RNA (346 nucleotides) under uncultured eukaryote. RNAcentral's name for it is "SSU rRNA". It matches the Rfam family "Eukaryotic small subunit ribosomal RNA", at positions 594 to 945 of the family's 1831-position model. The record is from RNAcentral.
AUAGCGUAUAUUAAAGUUGUUGUGGUUAAAAAGCUCGUAGUUGAACCUUGGGCCUGGCUGGCCGGUCCGCCUCACCGCGUGUACUGGUCCGGCCGGGCCUUUCCCUCUGUGGAACCCCAUGCCCUUCACUGGGUGUGGCGGGGAAACAGGACUUUUACUUUGAAAAAAUUAGAGUGCUCCAGGCAGGCCUAUGCUCGAAUACAUUAGCAUGGAAUAAUAGAAUAGGACGCGUGGUUCUAUUUUGUUGGUUUCUAGGACCACCGUAAUGAUUAAUAGGGAUAGUCGGGGGCAUCAGUAUUCAAUCGUCAGAGGUGAAAUUCUUGGAUCGAUUGAAGACUAACAACUG